Molecule: small nuclear RNA, 107 nt
Organism: Callithrix jacchus (white-tufted-ear marmoset)
Lineage: Eukaryota; Metazoa; Chordata; Mammalia; Primates; Cebidae
Source: Ensembl
GUUCUUGCUUCGGCAGCACGUAUACUAAAAUUGGAAAAAUGCAGAGAAGAUUAGCAUGGCCCCUGCACAAGGAUGACACGUAAAUUCGUGAAGCAUUCCAUAUAUUU